This 278-nucleotide long non-coding RNA is filed under the name Hordeum vulgare. RNAcentral describes it as "long non-coding RNA (HVUL_LNC003060)". The record is from RNAcentral. Lineage: Eukaryota; Viridiplantae; Streptophyta; Magnoliopsida; Poales; Poaceae.
GGCUAUACCCAUCUCUUGACCGUUUAGACGGCGGAAACGGCGCCGUCGCCACAAUAGCCACACGGCCAACACCACCCUUGACCACCAACUCCACAGAGUCAAGACCGUCGCUAACCACCAUCGCCACAUAGUCGUCGAUGAGGUCAGGAUUUCGCCUGAUAGCUCAACCAAGGGCGGAGGGGGCAAGGUCGCGAUGGGGGAUUGGCUAGUCGUGUAUUCUCAUUGAGAGCAGAUGGCGUGCAGGUGCCUGUAAAGGCGGCGCUAGGGAUAGAGAGGAG